RNAcentral lists this ribosomal RNA (372 nucleotides) under uncultured bacterium. Its description in RNAcentral is "bacterial SSU rRNA". It matches the Rfam family "Bacterial small subunit ribosomal RNA", at positions 524 to 898 of the family's 1533-position model. The record is from RNAcentral.
UACGGAGGAUCCAAGCGUUAUCCGGAAUCAUUGGGUUUAAAGGGUCCGUAGGUGGACGAUUAAGUCAGAGGUGAAAUCCUGCAGCUCAACUGUAGAAUUGCCUUUGAUACUGGUUGUCUUGAAUCAUUGUGAAGUGGUUAGAAUAUGUGGUGUAGCGGUGAAAUGCAUAGAUAUCACAUAGAAUACCGAUUGCGAAGGCAGAUCACUAACAAUGUAUUGACACUGAUGGACGAAAGCGUGGGGAGCGAACAGGAUUAGAUACCCUGGUAGUCCACGCCGUAAACGAUGGAUACUAGCUGUCCGGACUUCGGUCUGGGUGGCUAAGCGAAAGUGAUAAGUAUCCCACCUGGGGAGUACGUUCGCAAGAAUGAA